Molecule: long non-coding RNA, 471 nt
Organism: Bubalus bubalis (water buffalo)
Lineage: Eukaryota; Metazoa; Chordata; Mammalia; Artiodactyla; Bovidae
Exons: 2
Source: RefSeq, a predicted model, not a curated record
UCUGCCUAAUCCCAGGCCUGGGAGGAGGCUUAAUUCAGAAGUCUGCUGAUACACUACAGAAGGAGGAUGGUUCUUACAGAGUACUCCACUGAGAUCCUUCUUUUCAUCCUCCCAGUACACCCAAGACAUGGUCUUUGGCCUAACACAGACUGAGAUCUCUCUUCAGGGUCAGGGGUGGGGAGUCAUUCAUUCCAGAGACAGUGCCCACAUGUCCUUCCAAGAAGGUUGCAGUGUCCUUCAGAAACUUCUGAAGCCGCUUGGGUCAUGCUGGCUACAAGUCCUGCUCAUCAGCCUGCUGUUCAUUCCAGAGGAAUUCCUGGCAGCCAGGAGUACACUGUGACUCAGUCUCAUCUGUCAAGGCCAAUACAGGACACGGCCGUCCGCUUCGCCUACUGCUCUCCGGUGGCCUCCUAUCAUCGCUGCAAAGCCUGUGAACAAUUCCCAUGGAAUAAAAAUGGAAUCUGAGUCAUA